Molecule: ribosomal RNA, 253 nt
Filed under: uncultured bacterium
Lineage: Bacteria
Description: partial 16S ribosomal RNA
Rfam family: Bacterial small subunit ribosomal RNA
Source: RNAcentral
UACGUAGGGUGCAAGCGUUAAUCGGAAUUACUGGGCGUAAAGCGUGCGCAGGCGGUUAUGUAAGACAGAUGUGAAAUCCCCGGGCUCAACCUGGGAACUGCAUUUGUGACUGCAUAGCUAGAGUACGGUAGAGGGGGAUGGAAUUCCGCGUGUAGCAGUGAAAUGCGUCGAUAUGCGGAGGAACACCGGUGGCGAAGGCAAUCCCCUGGACCUGUACUGACGCUCAUGCACGAAAGCGUGGGGAGCAAACAGG